Molecule: ribosomal RNA, 470 nt
Filed under: uncultured Methanosaeta sp.
Lineage: Archaea; Methanobacteriati; Methanobacteriota; Methanomicrobia; Methanotrichales; Methanotrichaceae
Description: bacterial SSU rRNA
Rfam family: Archaeal small subunit ribosomal RNA
Source: RNAcentral
GACGGGGAGCACCACAACGGGUGGAGCUUGCGGUUUAAUUGGAUCAACGCCGGAAAUCUUACCGGGACCGACAGCAAUAUGAAGGCCAGGCUGAAGACUUUGCCGGAUUAGCUGAGAGGUGGUGCAUGGCCGUCGUCAGUUCGUACUGUGAAGCAUCCUGUUAAGUCAGGCAACGAGCGAGACCCACGCCCACAGUUGCCAGCGUACUCUCUGGAGUGACGGGUACACUGUGGGGACCGCCGCUGCUAAAGCGGAGGAAGGAAUGGGCAACGGUAGGUCAGUAUGCCCCGAAUAUCCCGGGCUACACGCGAGCUACAAUGGUUGGUACAAUGGGUAUCUACCCCGAAAGGGGACGGGAAUCUCCUAAAACCAAUCUUAGUUCGGAUUGAGGGCUGCAACUCGCCCUCAUGAAGCUGGAAUCCGUAGUAAUCGCGUUUCAACAGAACGCGGUGAAUACGUCCCUGCUCCUU